Molecule: ribosomal RNA, 552 nt
Filed under: Triticum aestivum (bread wheat)
Lineage: Eukaryota; Viridiplantae; Streptophyta; Magnoliopsida; Poales; Poaceae
Description: partial small subunit ribosomal RNA
Source: RNAcentral
AUGGGCAGUCGGCAGAGAGUGGUCGCCAUGCUGCUGCUGCUGGCCGCGUGCGCGGCGACACCGGCGACGGCGGAGCACAGGAUCUACAUCAACUGGCUGGCCCACAGCAACUACUCGGACUGGGCCAAGAGCCACGGGCCCUUCUCCAAGGGAGACUAUCUCGUGUUCUACACGCCGGACAAGAAGCUGGAUGUGGUGGAGGUGAACGAGCGCGGGUUCGACAUGUGCGACCCCAGAAACCCCAUCUACCGCUCCUCCGGCGGCCGUGAUAUCCCCAUCCUGCUCAGCGAGGCCAAGGUCUACUACUUCAUCUGCAGCGUCGGCAGGUACUGCCCCGACGGGAUGCGCCUCGCCAUCGAGGUCCAUGACAUGCCGCGGACGCCGGCCUCCGCACGCGACGACACGUCCGGCGCUGCAAUGGUGGAGAGCAACAUCACCUCACCGGCGCCUGGACCCCGAGCGAGCUCGGAGAGCGAGGGAGAGGGGCAGGCAGGAGGACGAAGCGACGAUGCUGUUCAUCUGUUCCGGAAAACAACAAGCACGUUGGGCUGA